RNAcentral lists this transfer RNA (64 nucleotides) under Ochthebius yoshitomii. Its description in RNAcentral is "tRNA-Cys". The record is from RNAcentral. Lineage: Eukaryota; Metazoa; Arthropoda; Insecta; Coleoptera; Hydraenidae.
AGCCUUAUAGUUAAAAAUUAUAAUUUUAAAUUGCAAAUUUAAAGGUGGAUAGAUCCUAAGGCUU